UCCCUGCUGGUCCAGUAGCUAAGACUCUGCAUUCCCAAAGCAGGGGACCUGGUUCAAUCCCAGGUCAGGGAA
Molecule: transfer RNA, 72 nt
Filed under: Bos taurus (domestic cattle)
Lineage: Eukaryota; Metazoa; Chordata; Mammalia; Artiodactyla; Bovidae
Also listed under: 2 other names
Rfam family: tRNA
About the family: Transfer RNA (tRNA) molecules are approximately 80 nucleotides in length.
Source: Rfam by way of RNAcentral